UACGAAGGGGGCUAGCGUUGCUCGGAAUCACUGGGCGUAAAGGGUGCGUAGGUGGCUUCGUAAGUCCGUUGUGAAAGUCAAAGGCUCAACCUUUGAAAGCCGAUGGAUACUGCGGAGCUAGAGUACGGAAGAGGCGAGUGGAAUUCCUGGUGUAGCGGUGGAAUGCGCAGAUAUCAGGAGGAACACCAAUAGCGAAGGCAGCUCGCUGGGACGUUACUGACACUGAGGCGCGAAAGCGUGGGGAGCGAACAGG
Molecule: ribosomal RNA, 253 nt
Filed under: uncultured bacterium
Lineage: Bacteria
Description: partial 16S ribosomal RNA
Rfam family: Bacterial small subunit ribosomal RNA
Source: RNAcentral